Molecule: ribosomal RNA, 510 nt
Filed under: uncultured bacterium
Lineage: Bacteria
Description: partial 16S ribosomal RNA
Rfam family: Bacterial small subunit ribosomal RNA
Source: RNAcentral
GACGAACGCUGGCGGCGUGCUUAACACAUGCAAGUCGAACGGAAAGGCCCUGCUUUUGUGGGGUGCUCGAGUGGCGAACGGGUGAGUAACACGUGAGUAGCCUGCCCUUGACUUUGGGAUAACUUCAGGAAACUGGGGCUAAUACCGGAUAGGAGCUCCUGCUGCAUGGUGGGGGUUGGAAAGUUUCGGCGGUUGGGGAUGGACUCGCGGCUUAUCAGCUUGUUGGUGGGGUAGUGGCUUACCAAGGCUUUGACGGGUAGCCGGCCUGAGAGGGUGACCGGGCAAAGUGCGGACGGGCGGCCCGGCCGCCACAUCGCGGGGGGAGGGGGCGGACAAUAUGUCAUGCGGGGCGGGGGCCCGCUGCAGAACGGCUCGGGGAGGGCGGGCGGCCUGCGGUAUGUAGUCCGCUUCCGCCUGUGGGGGGGUGUGAUUGACGAAAAUGGGUAAAGACACACCGGCUAACGACGUGUCAUCAGCCGCGUUAAUAAUAGGAACCGCACACGUAUGACC